Molecule: ribosomal RNA, 257 nt
Filed under: uncultured bacterium
Lineage: Bacteria
Description: partial 16S ribosomal RNA
Rfam family: Bacterial small subunit ribosomal RNA
Source: RNAcentral
UACAGAGGGUGCAAGCGUUUGUUCGGAUUCAUUGGGCGUAAAGGGUGCGUAGGUGGCGCCGUAAGUCAGGUGUGAAAUCUCGGGGCUUAACUCCGAAACUGCAUUUGAUACUGCGGUGCUUUGAGGACUGGAGAGGAGACUGGAAUUUACGGUGUAGCAGUGAAAUGCGUAGAGAUCGUAAGGAAGACCAGUGGCGAAGGCGGGUCUCUGGACAGUUCCUGACACUGAGGCACGAAGGCCAGGGGGAGCAAACGGGG